CAGCCGCCGCGGGAAUACGAGGGGAGCUAGCGUUAUUCGGAAUUACUGGGCGUAAAGCGCACGUAGGCGGCUCUGUAAGUUAGAGGUGAAAGCCCAGAGCUCAACUCUGGAAUUGCCUUUAAGACUGCAUCGCUUGAAUCCAGGAGAGGUGAGUGGAAUUCCGAGUGUAGAGGUGAAAUUCGUAGAUAUUCGGAAGAACACCAGUGGCGAAGGCGGCUCACUGGACUGGUAUUGACGCUGAGGUGCGAAAGCGUGGGGAGCAAACAGGAUUAGAUACCCCGGUAGUCCCUGUCUCUUAUAA
This 301-nucleotide ribosomal RNA is filed under the name uncultured bacterium. RNAcentral describes it as "partial 16S ribosomal RNA". It matches the Rfam family "Bacterial small subunit ribosomal RNA", at positions 509 to 809 of the family's 1533-position model. The record is from RNAcentral.